UUUUCCAGUUAACUGUUUGGUUAAUCCAUGUAAUAAUUAUAAUUGUUCAAUUGGUUCACAAUGUGUUCCAAACUACUGUAACGGUUGCAACGCUGUGUGCAAACAAUGUGCAAAAACGC
Molecule: non-coding RNA, 119 nt
Organism: Hydra vulgaris (swiftwater hydra)
Lineage: Eukaryota; Metazoa; Cnidaria; Hydrozoa; Anthoathecata; Hydridae
Source: RefSeq, a predicted model, not a curated record